CCUACGGGAGGCAGCAGUGAGGAAUAUUGGUCAAUGGACGAGAGUCUGAACCAGCCAAGUAGCGUGAAGGAUGACUGCCCUAUGGGUUGUAAACUUCUUUUAUAUGGGAAUAAAAUGUUCCACGUGUGGGAUUUUGUAUGUACCAUAUGAAUAAGGAUCGGCUAACUCCGUGCCAGCAGCCGCGGUAAUACGGAGGAUCCGAGCGUUAUCCGGAUUUAUUGGGUUUAAAGGGAGCGUAGGUGGAUUGUUAAGUUAGUUGUGAAAGUUUGCGGCUCAACCGUAAAAUUGCAGUUGAAACUGGCAGUCUUGAGUACAGUAGAGGUGGGCGGAAUUCGUGGUGUAGCGGUGAAAUGCUUAGAUAUGACGAAGAACUCCGAUUGCGAAGGCAGUUCACUGGACUGCAACUGACGCUGAGGCUCGAAAGUGUGGGUAUCAAACAGGAUUAGAUACCCUUGUAGUC
This 460-nucleotide ribosomal RNA is filed under the name uncultured bacterium. Its description in RNAcentral is "partial 16S ribosomal RNA". It matches the Rfam family "Bacterial small subunit ribosomal RNA", at positions 338 to 795 of the family's 1533-position model. The record is from RNAcentral.